RNAcentral lists this ribosomal RNA (519 nucleotides) under uncultured Bacteroidota bacterium. RNAcentral describes it as "bacterial SSU rRNA". It matches the Rfam family "Bacterial small subunit ribosomal RNA", at positions 73 to 590 of the family's 1533-position model. Lineage: Bacteria; Pseudomonadati; Bacteroidota. The record is from RNAcentral.
GAGUAGCUUGCUACUUGCUGACGACCGGCGCACGGGUGCGUAACGCGUAUAGAAUCUACCUUGUACUAGGGGAUAGCCUUUGGAAACGAAGAUUAAUACCCUAUAGUAAGUAUUUAUGGCAUCAUUUAUACUUUAAAGGUUACGGUACAAGAUGACUAUGCGUCCUAUUAGUUUGUUGGUGAGGUAACGGCUCACCAAGACUUCGAUAGGUAGGGGCCCUGAGAGGGGGAUCCCCCACACUGGUACUGAGACACGGACCAGACUCCUACGGGAGGCAGCAGUGAGGAAUAUUGGACAAUGGAGGCAACUCUGAUCCAGCCAUGCCGCGUGCAGGAUGACGGCCCUAUGGGUUGUAAACUGCUUUUAUGUAGGAAGAAACACUCUCACGUGUGAGAGCUUGACGGUACUACAAGAAUAAGGACCGGCUAACUCCGUGCCAGCAGCCGCGGUAAUACGGAGGGUCCAAGCGUUAUCCGGAAUCAUUGGGUUUAAAGGGUCCGUAGGCGGGCUAUUAAGUCA